CUUGACAUCCAGCGAACUUCAGAGAUGGAUUGGUGGCCUUCGGGAACGCUGAGACAGGUGCUGCAUGGCUGUCGUCAGCUCGUGUUGUGAAAUGUGGGUUAAGUCCCGNAACGAGCGCAACCCUUAUCCUUUGUUGCCAGCGAUUCGGUCGGGAACUCAAAGGAGACUGCCGGUGAUAAACCGGAGGAAGGUGGGGAUGACGUCAAGUCAUCAUGGCCCUUACGAGUAGGGCUACACACGUGCUACAAUGGCGCAUACAAAGAGAAGCGACCUCGCGAGAGCAAGCGGACCUCAUAAAGUGCGUCGUAGUCCGGAUCGGAGUCUGCAACUCGACUCCGUGAAGUCGGAAUCGCUAGUAAUCGUGGAUCAGAAUGCCACGGUGAAUACGUUCCCGGGCCUUGUACACACCGCCCGUCACACCAUGGGAGUGGGUUGCAAAAGAAGUAGGUAGCUUAACCUUCGGGAGGGCGCUUACCACUUUGUGAUUCAUGACUGGGGUGAAGUCGUAACAAGGUAGGCGUAGCGAG
Molecule: ribosomal RNA, 527 nt
Filed under: uncultured bacterium
Lineage: Bacteria
Description: bacterial SSU rRNA
Rfam family: Bacterial small subunit ribosomal RNA
Source: RNAcentral